RNAcentral lists this ribosomal RNA (490 nucleotides) under uncultured bacterium. Its description in RNAcentral is "partial 16S ribosomal RNA". It matches the Rfam family "Bacterial small subunit ribosomal RNA", at positions 30 to 507 of the family's 1533-position model. The record is from RNAcentral.
AUUGAACGCUGGCGGCAGGCCUAACACAUGCAAGUCGAACGGUAACAGGAAGAAGCUUGCUUCUUUGCUGACGAGUGGCGGACGGGUGAGUAAUGUCUGGGAAACUGCCUGAUGGAGGGGGAUAACUACUGGAAACGGUAGCUAAUACCGCAUAAUGUCGCAAGCCCAAAGAGGGGGACCUUCGGGCCUCUUGCCAUCGGAUGUGCCCAGAUGGGAUUCGCUAGUAGGUGGGGUAACGGCUCACCUAGGCGACGAUCCCUAGCUGGUCUGAGAGGAUGACCAGCCACACUGGAACUGAGACACGGUCCAGACUCCUACGGGAGGCAGCAGUGGGGAAUAUUGCACAAUGGGCGCAAGCCUGAUGCAGCUAUGCCGCGUGUAUGAAGAAGGCCUUCGGGUUGUAAAGUACUUUCAGCGGGGAGGAAGGGAGUAAAGUUAAUACCUUUGCUCAUUGACGUUACCCGCAGAAGAAGCACCGGCUAACUCCGUG